UUUAAAACAGUGUAUGGUCAUGUUCGCUUGUGUUUGUUGUGGUGGUGCUGCUGGCGAGAGAGAAGAAGAGGGUAGUGAUGGAUCUGAAAGGUACGCCGGUUGAAAAUGGAUACCGUAUGCCUGCAGAAUGGGAACCCCACUCUGGUUGUUGGAUGGGUUGGCCGGAACGUCCAGAUAACUGGAGAAAUAAUGCAGUCCACGGUCAGCGUGCAUUUGCAACUGUAGCAUCUGCUAUUUCAAGAUUUGAAUCAGUAACAGUCUGCGCUAGUGCUGCUCAGUGGGAAAAUGCACGCAGCUUGUUGCCUAAGCAUAUCAGGGUUGUGGAAAUGAGCAUCAAUGAUUCUUGGUUUCGUGACACUGGUCCAACUUUCGUCAUCAGAAAUACCACAGCAAAUGCAGAAAAUGCAGUGUCAAGUGUUGCAGGGGUUGAUUGGAACUUCAAUAGCUGGGGUGGUGUUGUUGAGGGCUGUUACAAAGACUGGAAUCUUGACCUUCUUGUUGCAAGAAAGAUUUUGGCAAUUGAGAAGCUCCCAAAGUUUCCACAUUCUAUGGUUCUUGAAGGUGGAAGCAUUCAUGUUGAUGGAGAAGGGACUUGUCUCACAACCGAAGAGUGCCUCCUGAACAAAAACAGGAAUCCCCAUUUGUCUAAAGAACAGAUUGAGAAUGAACUAAAAGCAUAUCUCGGAGUCAGGAAGAUUAUUUGGCUGCCUCGAGGGUUGCUUGGUGAUGAGGAUACAAAUGGUCAUAUCGACAACAUGUGCUGUUUUGUGAAACCUGGUGUCGUUUUGUUGUCUUGGACUGAUGAUGUAUCUGAUGAACAGUAUGAAAGAUCCUUUGAAGCACUCUCUAUUCUUGAAAAUACUUCUGAUGCCAGUGGUAGAAAAAUAGAAGUGAUCAAACUCCAUGUACCUGGGCCACUCUAUAUGACAGAUGAGGAAGCAGCUGGAAUAGUUCAGGAUGGCGAAGCUAAACCUAGGCCUUCAGGUACAAGGCUUGCUGCUUCUUAUGUAAACUUCUACAUUGCUAAUGGUGCAAUUAUUACUCCGCAAUUUGGGGAUAAAAAAUGGGAUGAAGAAGCUAUUAGAGUCCUCUCACUGGCAUUUCCAAAUCAUGAGGUUGUAGGAAUUGAAGGUGCUAGGGAAAUUGUACUAGCAGGUGGAAAUAUACAUUGUAUCACACAACAGCAGCCAACCGGCCCAGAAUAAUUACCCAAGGUUAGAAAUGGGAUUCCAUGUCUUAGCAGAGGGAUAACAAGAUUUGCAUGUACAAGUGAUAACAUGGAAUUCUUCAUGAUCACACGUGCAAAACUUUAGUUUCUGUAUUUGCUUCUUCGUUCGAAAUUCUGGAGUGCCAAAAUAAUGUCUGGGUCCAGGUCAAAGUAAGAUUUUUUGGUUAAAGCUUUAGAUUUCAAUAGUAUUACGUUUGAUCAAACUUG
This 1435-nucleotide unclassified non-coding RNA is filed under the name Hevea brasiliensis (rubber tree). Lineage: Eukaryota; Viridiplantae; Streptophyta; Magnoliopsida; Malpighiales; Euphorbiaceae. The record is from RNAcentral.